GUCUACAGCCAUGCCACCCUGAACAUGCCCUAUCUCAUCUGAUCUCGGAAGCUAAGCAGGGUCGGGCCUAGUUAGUAGUUGGAUGGGAGACCGCCUAGGAAGAUUAGGUGCUAUAGGCG
This 119-nucleotide ribosomal RNA is filed under the name Pteropus alecto (black flying fox). The record is from RNAcentral. Lineage: Eukaryota; Metazoa; Chordata; Mammalia; Chiroptera; Pteropodidae.